RNAcentral lists this ribosomal RNA (484 nucleotides) under uncultured bacterium. Its description in RNAcentral is "partial 16S ribosomal RNA". It matches the Rfam family "Bacterial small subunit ribosomal RNA", at positions 30 to 507 of the family's 1533-position model. The record is from RNAcentral.
AUUGAACGCUGGCGGCAGGCCUAACACAUGCAAGUCGAGCGGAUGAAGGGAGCUUGCUCCUGGAUUCAGCGGCGGACGGGUGAGUAAUGCCUAGGAAUCUGCCUGGUAGUGGGGGAUAACGUCCGGAAACGGGCGCUAAUACCGCAUACGUCCUGAGGGAGAAAGUGGGGGAUCUUCGGACCUCACGCUAUCAGAUGAGCCUAGGUCGGAUUAGCUAGUUGGUGGGGUAAAGGCCUACCAAGGCGACGAUCCGUAACUGGUCUGAGAGGAUGAUCAGUCACACUGGAACUGAGACACGGUCCAGACUCCUACGGGAGGCAGCAGUGGGGAAUAUUGGACAAUGGGCGAAAGCCUGAUCCAGCCAUGCCGCGUGUGUGAAGAAGGUCUUCGGAUUGUAAAGCACUUUAAGUUGGGAGGAAGGGCAGUAAGUUAAUACCUUGCUGUUUUGACGUUACCAAAAAAAUAAGCACCGGCUAACUUCGUG